CCAGACUCCUACGGGAGGCAGCAGUGAGGAAUAUUGGUCAAUGGCCGAGAGGCUGAACCAGCCAAGUCGCGUGAGGGAUGACGGCCCUACGGGUUGUAAACCUCUUUUGCCGGGGAGCAAGCGUGCGUUCGUGAACGCACGUCGAGAGUACCCGGAGAAAAAGCAUCGGCUAACUCCGUGCCAGCAGCCGCGGUAAUACGGAGGAUGCGAGCGUUAUCCGGAUUUAUUGGGUUUAAAGGGUGCGUAGGCGGGAUGCCAAGUCAGCGGUAAAAAUGCGGUGCUCAACGCCGUCGAGCCGUUGAAACUGGCGUUCUUGAGUGGGCGAGAAGUAUGCGGAAUGCGUGGUGUAGCGGUGAAAUGCAUAGAUAUCACGCAGAACUCCGAUUGCGAAGGCAGCAUACCGGCGCCCUACUGACGCUGAGGCACGAAAGCGUGGGUAUCGAACAGGAUUAGAUACCCCAGUA
This 464-nucleotide ribosomal RNA is filed under the name uncultured bacterium. RNAcentral describes it as "bacterial SSU rRNA". It matches the Rfam family "Bacterial small subunit ribosomal RNA", at positions 331 to 792 of the family's 1533-position model. The record is from RNAcentral.